This 73-nucleotide transfer RNA is filed under the name Chlorotetraedron incus. RNAcentral's name for it is "tRNA-Met". It matches the Rfam family "tRNA". From Rfam's summary of the family: Transfer RNA (tRNA) molecules are approximately 80 nucleotides in length. The record is from RNAcentral. Lineage: Eukaryota; Viridiplantae; Chlorophyta; Chlorophyceae; Sphaeropleales; Neochloridaceae.
GGCAAAAUAGCUCAUAAUGGUAGAGCAUUGGUCUCAUAAUCCAAGGGUUGACAGUUCAAGUCUGUCUUUUGCC